This 275-nucleotide ribosomal RNA is filed under the name uncultured prokaryote. Its description in RNAcentral is "partial 16S ribosomal RNA". It matches the Rfam family "Bacterial small subunit ribosomal RNA", at positions 524 to 800 of the family's 1533-position model. The record is from RNAcentral.
UACGUAGGGGCAAGCGUUGUCCGGAAUGAUUGGGCGUAAAGGGCGCGUAGGCGGCUUUAUAAGUCUGGAGUGAAAGUCCUCUUUUCAAGGGAGGAAUUGCUUUGGAAACUAUAGAGCUUGAGUGCAGAGAGGUUAUCGGAAUUCCCGGUGUAGCGGUGAAAUGCGUAGAUAUCGGGAGGAACAUCGGUGGCGAAGGCGGGUAACUGGACUGCAACUGACGCUGAGGCGCGAAAGUGUGGGGAGCAAACAGGAUUAGAUACCCGCGUAGUCCCUGA